CAAUAGCGUAUAUUAAAGUUGUUGCGGUUAAAAAGCUCGUAGUUGGAUUUCUGCUGAGAACGACCGGUCCGCCCUUUGGGUGUGUAUCUGGCUCUUUCUUGGCAUCUUCUUGGUGAACGUUGCUGCACUUGACUGUGUGGAGCGCUACCCAGGACUUUUACUUUGAGGAAAUUAGAGUGUUUCAAGCAGGCAUACGUCUUGAAUACAUUAGCAUGGAAUAAUAAGAUAGGACCUCGGUUCUAUUUUGUUGGUUUCUAGAGCUGAGGUAAUGAUUAAUAGGGAUAGUUGGGGGCAUUCGUAUUUAACUGUCAGAGGUAAAAUUCUUGGAUUUGUUAAAGACGGACUACUGCGAAAGCAUUUGCCAAGGAUGUUUUCAUUGA
This 380-nucleotide ribosomal RNA is filed under the name uncultured eukaryote. Its description in RNAcentral is "partial 18S ribosomal RNA". It matches the Rfam family "Eukaryotic small subunit ribosomal RNA", at positions 592 to 976 of the family's 1831-position model. The record is from RNAcentral.